CAUGCAAGUCGAACGGUAACAGGGUGCUUGCACCGCUGACGAGUGGCGAACGGGUGAGUAAUAUAUCGGAACGUACCUAGUAAUGGGGGAUAACUAUCCGAAAGGAUAGCUAAUACCGCAUACGCCCUGAGGGGGAAAGAGGGGGAUCGCAAGACCUCUCGUUAUUAGAGCGGCCGAUAUCAGAUUAGCUAGUUGGUGAGGUAAAGGCUCACCAAGGCCACGAUCUGUAGCGGGUCUUAGAGGACGAUCCGCCACACUGGAACUGAGACACGGUCCAGACUCCUACGGGAGGCAGCAGUGGGGAAUCUUGGACAAUGGGCGCAAGCCUGAUCCAGCAAUGCCGCGUGCGUGAAGAAGGCCUUCGGGUUGUAAAGCGCUUUUGUUCGGGAGGAAAUCCUAGUGGCUAAUAUCCAUUGGGGAUGACAGUACCGGAAGAAUAAGGACCGGCUAA
RNAcentral lists this ribosomal RNA (451 nucleotides) under Iodobacter fluviatilis. Its description in RNAcentral is "bacterial SSU rRNA". It matches the Rfam family "Bacterial small subunit ribosomal RNA", at positions 54 to 500 of the family's 1533-position model. The record is from RNAcentral. Lineage: Bacteria; Pseudomonadati; Pseudomonadota; Betaproteobacteria; Neisseriales; Chitinibacteraceae.